Molecule: non-coding RNA, 2418 nt
Organism: Prunus avium (sweet cherry)
Lineage: Eukaryota; Viridiplantae; Streptophyta; Magnoliopsida; Rosales; Rosaceae
Source: RefSeq, a predicted model, not a curated record
CUCUGCUUUGUUUUUGUGGGUAUAGUCCAUGACUUACAAAGUUACAAGUAUAAAUGUGUACCACUGGUAUGCCAACAUUGUACCAUCAAGUUGAUGAAUUUUCAAUCUGCAUGGAAAUUUCAAACUUGUUUGCUUAUGUUUGGUAGAUAAUCAUUAAAACAAAUUUGAAUUCUCAAUUUUGCUAUAUGAAGAAAUUCAGAGAAGGGAAUUUUACAUAGACAGACUUUUAGUUUAAUAGACUUUUGGUAGAGAAUUGAAAUUAAUAGCCAUGUUUUUCAAGCUUGUUAUAGUCAUAAUAGUAAGCCUAGCAGCAGCUGAAGAUCUCAAUUUCACCUACAAUGGUUUCCUGUCUGCUAAUCUUAGCCUAGAUGGCGUAGCCCAAGUCACAUCCAAUGGCCUUCUGAAGCUUACAAAUGACACUGGACUCGGCCAUGCCUUCUACCCCAACCCAGUAACCUUCAAGAACUCAUCCAAUGCUACCGCUUUCUCCUUCUCGACCACUUUUGUGUUCGCUAUCAGAUCUGGAUUAGGAACGAGUUUGGGUGGCUUUGGAAUGGCCUUUGUCAUUGCUCCGACAAGAGGGCUCCCCGGAGGUUUUAAAAACCAGUACCUGGGCGUUUUCAAUGAAACCAACAACGGCACCAACAACCAUAUUUUUGCUGUAGAGCUUGACACCAUACUGAACCCCGACCUUGGCGACAUCAACAACAACCACGUUGGGAUUGAUAUCAAUGAUGUGCGCUCAGUGAACUCAACUCCAGCGGGAUAUCAUGCUCUAAACAAUGGCGGUUUCCGAAACUUGACCCUCAUCAGUGGUCAACCAAUGAAGUUUUGGGUGGAAUAUGAUGGUAUCCAGAAGCAAAUCAAUGUCACUUUGGGUCCAAUCAAUGUUGAUAAACCCCAUAUUCCACUCUUGUCUUUGAAGUAUGACCUUUCCAUGGUCCUUAACACGAACAUGUAUGUUGGCUUCUCCUCUACUGCUGACUCACUCGUCACAUCUCAUUAUGUUCUAGGUUGGAGCUUUGAGAUGAAUGGCCAGGCUCCAGAACUUGUUCUCUCGCAACUUCCUAAGCUGCCCCGGAUAGGACGUAAAAAAAUAUCUAAUUUUUUGACCGUUGGUGUGCCUGUGAUGUCUGUGAGUUUGGUUUUGCUAGUGGUUUCAGGUUUAAUUUAUUUCAUAAGAAGGAAGAGGAAGUUUGCAGAAUUACUUGAAGAUUGGGAGCUUGAGUAUGGGCUUCAAAGGUUUAAAUACAAAGAGUUAUAUAUUGCCACAAAAGGGUUCAAGGAGAAGGAGCUUUUGGGCGCUGGGGGUUUUGGUAAAGUCUAUAGAGGCAUAUUCCCCUCCUCAAAAAUUGAGAUUGCUGUGAAGAGAGUCUCACACGAAUCGCGACAGGGGAUGAAGGAAUUUGUUGCAGAAAUUGUGAGUAGUGGCAGGCUUCGCCAUCGAAAUUUAGUCCCACUCUUGGGCUAUUGCAGAAGAAAAGGGGAGCUGCUCUUGGUCUAUGACUACAUGCCUAAUGGAAGCUUGGACAAGUACAUCUAUGACCGCCCUAUGGUCACUCUCAAUUGGAGCCAGAGGUUUAGAGUGAUCAGAGGUGUGGCUUCAGGGUUGUUCUAUCUUCAUGAAGAAUGGGAACAAGUUGUGAUUCACAGAGAUGUGAAGGCCAGCAAUGUGUUACUCGACGGUGAAUUGAAUGCAAGACUAGGAGAUUUUGGCCUUGCAAGAUUAUAUGACCAUGGAACAGACCCUCAAACUACUCAUAUAGUUGGAACACUUGGGUAUCUAGCUCCAGAGCAUAUAAGAUCAGGCCGGGCCACAACGAGCACCGAUGUGUUUGCUUUCGGGGCGUUUUUGCUCGAAGUAGCUUGUGGAAGAAGGCCAACAGAGGCACAAGGUCCAGACCAGGAUUUGAUUUUGGUUGAUUGAGUGUUUUCUUUUUGGAAUAGAGGUGCCAUUCUUGAGGCAAGAGAUCAAAACUUGAGUUCUGAAUAUGUAGCCGAGGAGGUGGAGUUGGUGUUGAAGCUUGGGCUGUUGUGCUCUCAUUCAGAGCCUACAGCCAGGCCAAGCAUGCGCCAGGUUGUGCAGUAUUUGGAAGGUGACAUUGCUUUGCCAGAGCUCUCUCUUCUUGGGCUCUCUUCAAAUGGCUUGACUUUUGCUCACCAUGAAGGUUUUGAUGAUUUUGCAAUGUCAUAUUCGUCUUCUCUGGGCAAGGGGUUUUCACAUUCAUCAUAUGCUGCAGAGUCCACACUCCUCUCGGGUGGUCGCUGAUUCGAAGCAAUUAAGAUUGUCUAGCACACUAGAAUGUUGACUCUACUUAUUAGUUUUGUAACUUGUACAAAAAUCAAUACUGUAACAAUCUGUAUGUAAGUUGGGUGGGAAUAAAAUUCUGCAAAAAGUACUAAUUCCAUACACACAAA